AAAAACUUAGUCUAGGCCCAUGGUCUUGAACUACUGGACAUCUGAAUUUUGGUAGGUGCUGGAUUCAGGCAACUGAGGGGUGGCCUUGGGCACACUGUGUGCACAUAAAAGAAAGGGUUUGAGGUGAACUAAAAGGUAAAAGAGGGGAAGGUGCUAUUAAGAAACCAGAAGUGAGAGACUGUACAGGGUUGGUGGGAGGACUGGUUCAUGCUACAGACACUGACCCAGGUGAAACUUUUCUCUGAGUUAUUUCUAUGUUCAUGCAGGAAGACGAGAUUAUGAUCAGGUGGCACAGAAAUCUGCGAUGGUGAAAAAACCAGGUUGCCCCUGCAGAUUCGGUGUCUGAGGUAGAACGUAUGCCAGGGGUCUUGUAGGCACAUGUGUGGGUUUUUGGUGGGAAAGUCUAUGAGGAAAGGUAGCAUGGGCAACAAUCUUGAUGCCAAAGCCUUGUCCUGAGAGGGGCUUGGCCACAUCAACAUGCAGUGUGUAUGUUCAGUGGGUGAAAAACCUGUGGUGGCCUCAGGUUGGCAGGAGGGUAGAAGGCAUCUGUUCUCAGAACUUCUUCCCUCAGAGUCGUCGGUCCUUCUUACCAUGGGAGAAUGCCUGGAACCACAGGGCAGUGCAUGGUGUAGCAGCCUGUGUGCAGAGCAGAGCCUACCUUCCCCGAGACACCUGGAGUCUCUCUCCAGCAGAGGCCCCCACAUUGUCUUUCUCCUUACAACACUUUUGAUCCUAAAUGUGUAAAGUUCCCUGAAAACCCACUGCUUCUCCAACACCCAUUUGUUGCCCCAAAAUUUAAUUCUGACACAACUUAGAGUUCACACAGAUCCCAGAAAUUCAGGGCUCAGUCCCACAUCACCCCUCUCACUGUAGAGGAGAGUUACACAUCCCUGAAGCCCAUCUACACUUCUGAGCUACCUCCUAUAAAUCUGAGACUAGCAUAAACCCCUUUUCAAGUUAAAUAAUUUGAUAGAAUUACUAAAAAGAAAACCUCAACAAAUAACUGUAAUUAUAUUUACUACUUUAUUAUAAAAAUAUAACUCAGAAACAGCCAAAUGGAAGAGAUGUCUAGGGCAAGGAACAGUUGUGGGUGAAGGCAAUCCUGGAAAUAGCUAUAUUUAAAGAAAUUCCCCCAUUCUUUGCAUUCUCAAAGAACAGCUUAGUGAAGAGAAACGUGCUUCCCCUGAUGACUUUGAGGAUGCUCCCUGCUGUUUUUUUAACCUAUCACAAAAAUGGACACAGAUUGCAAAUUCCCAUUUUUAAAAAUGAACAACCAUUCAGUAAUUUAGUCUUCAGUGGUCCAAAUAACAUACUCUUAAAGAAACUUUGCUUGUUUCUCUUCUUCCAACCAGCCCCUGAACUUUGACUCACCCACAGCUUCAGCAAACCUACAACCCUUAUUUAUACAUACCCCUCCUAAGAACAGGCUGAGUUCAAGGUGAAACAUUAUCUUAUCUGGGAUCGCAUUUUGCUACCCUCCAUCGUGUGCUUCCUUUCCAACCUUCUUUGUAAACUUGUUUUCUCCUCCCUAUGAAAUAAGGCCCUUUUCCACCUAACCUUAGAGAUACUCAAAGAUCUAAUCAUUUGUACUUUUUCUUUGUUGCAAUACUUCUUAGGUAACUUCUUAGACCAAGUCUAGAAACAGUCUGAGGACAAUAACAAUUCCAUUCUAAAAAGAAUCUCCCAACAUUUCUUCUAUCUCAACCUCAACUGCAUCUGCCUGUGAACUUCCAGCUUACCAAGGCUCUAUAUCUUCUGGCAGUGACAAAGGCUCCUUCCAUGGUUGGUGUGAGUAGGCUUGGACACCUGCAGGGCAGACACCCAGGAAUAAUCAACUGGGCCUUCAGUGGUCCUCUUUUGCAGGGUCAAGGUGGGCCUUAGCUUUUAGUCAAUGGUCUAAGACUUCUAUUUACCAGUUAGUCAUUCAGUUAGUUUUCAAUUCAAAAAAUACUUCAUGUUUGAAGAAUCCAGCAAAAAUUAUUCAAAUCUAAGAUAUAAAAGAGAGGAAAUUACAGCCGGGCAUGGUGACUCAUGCCUGUAAUCCCUACAUUUUGGGAGGCCUAGGCGGGCAGAUGACCUGAGAUCAGGAGUUUGAGACCAGCCUGACCAACAUGAAGAAACCCCGUCUCUGCUAAAAAUACAAAAUUAUCCAGGUGUGGUGUUGUAUGCCUGUAAUCCCAGCUACUCGGGAGGCCGAGGCAGGAGAAUCGCUUGAACCCAGGAGUUGGAGGUUACAGUGAGCAGAUGUCUUGCCAUUGCACUCCAGCCUGGGCAAGAAGAGUGAAACUACAUCUAAAAAAUAACAGAAUAAAAUAAAAUAAAAACAUUAUAAGGGGCUUAUAUCUUAUAAUUCAUCAAGAAAAGCCAAAGUAUCUAUCCCUUUCAGAAAAUAAACAUGUAAUUUAAUUAUGUUCAAAACAAAUCAUUUAGUAAACAAUUAAUCAUAUGUGAACACUUCCAGGAGGUGCAAAGUCCCAGCUCCUAAAACUUAACAUUACCCUCAAACACCCAGAUGGCAGCAUAUGGAAUAGAGUUAUUCACUUUCACAAGUUCUCUCUUUUGAAAAAAAGAAUAACUUAUGUGAUAAAUUUAUGUAAUUUGACAAUUAAUCUACCUCAUGUGCUUGCAGAUAUGUAUUCAUUUCCUACCACCGUAGUGGAAGAGAGAUUUUCCCUAUCUUUACAACUGAUAGCAUUUCCAACAGUAAGCUGUGAGAUUCUGCUUGAAAUCACCUCUCAAACAAAUAAAAAACAGACCUGGGAGACAUGCUACACUCAUUCUGCUGAGGAAAUAGGCAUCAUAGCUGGGAAACGGAUUCACAAGACCCAGGCUGUUCCCUACAUAUGUUUCCUCCUCCGACAUCAGUUCAUCAGUCAAUCAAGCCAUGUGAGAGUGGAGGCCUUGUAUUCCCUAUUAUUCUUGGGCACUCUACUCCAAGUAGGAAAAGGCCAGGAGGUCCUGUUAAAGGAUGCACUCAGAGCCCGGGCUCCCUAACAUAUGAGAGUGCUAACCAGCAGGUGUAGACUUUUCAGGAGUGAAGAAUGAGGCAGGCAUUCCAAACCUGGACCUUCAUCACCUUUUGUUUCAUCUCAAGACAAUUCUGAGGGACUGUUUUGGAGCGUGUCUGGAAGGUGAACCUUGAAGAAGAGUGUGGGCUUUGAUGUGACUCAGUUGAGAUCUUUCAUGGGGAGGCAGGAAUUCAAUGCCCAGAAUCUGGGCUGGUGUCUUUGAGGUCAGUAGGUUGCGUCUUUGUAUCCAAGUCCAUUGUUACUAGGUUGGAGGCUGGAGAUUCUAAAUGGCUUCCAGACCAUCUCUCUGAUUCUCUUUGGGAGAUGGGGUCUGAAAGACAAUGUCAGUAGUUUUGGGAAAUUCUAGAAAGUGUGCUUGGAAACGUGGGAAGAGCUCUUGCCUAGUGCCUAAAUGCUCCAUUUGCAGCUCUAGCCAAGUAGAUACUUGGUAGGUAUAGAGCCGGGUUUGCGUUUAUAUCAGCAAAACCUAUGUCAGAGUUGAAGAAGUAGUCAGGAAAAAGCGUCUUGGUCGCAGGCCGGGGAACAUCUUAAAAGCAAACUUCUAGCCUGCUGACUCUUGGCAAUGAGUGUUGGAUCCUGGCUAAAGUGCCUUGAAUGCAGCAUGAGGCCAAUCCAUGAAUCCAACUUCUCAUGGAGAAAUGUUAAUAUUUUUUCAGUUUGAAUCAAUCAGGGUGAAACUACCAUGCUAUUGGUUUGCUUACUUUUUAUUAUUUCAUGUAAAAUCUAAGACAAAAUACAUUAAAUGCUUAUUGACAUAUGUAUUUAUUCUUCACCAGGCUGAUAAUAUCUGCCUAAUUUUAAACUUUCUUCCAUUUUGUAGGUUUCAACUUAUUCUAUUGUAAGAUACUGUUAAAUCUAAUAGAGGCAUUGUCACUUUUACGUAUAAUUUUAUUUUAUUUCAUAUAUUUCCUAUUGGCUUUUUACAUUUAAAUUAUGGAGCACUUCAUCAUAUAAAAAACUUCAAUUAUAUUUAAACAGUAAGUCUUUGGAUUUUUUUGCCUUGUAAUUUCCAUAUUACAUAAUAAUGAGAUAAACAUUAAUGUUUUCAGGGUACUUUAAAUUUUAGAUAAUUACUCAUUGUAUUCAUGUGAAAUUUGUUUUUACUGCAUGUGUGGGUUGGAGGACUGUUUUCACUUCUGAUUCAUCUUUACUCUUAUCUCAUCAGAGCUCAUACCUCUUGUAGUUGGGGGAUUGCAGUUUAUAAUUCCAAUAAAUGGGGCAAAUUCAAUAAUAACAUAAUACAAAUGAGUUUGAAUGCAGGACAGGUCUUCAAAGCAUACACAACAUGGGCCUACAUAUGUACAACAAUAAUAAUUUAUAAGUUACUGUUUGGAUGGAAAGUAAAAGUACAGAAAAUUUGUUAAAGGAAAUUAAAAUGGAGAUCAUGUCUCAAUAAUCUCUGAGCAGACAAAAUUAGUUAGGUCUCAUAAGUGAUCUCAACCUCGCUUGAUUUGCAAAUACAAACAAAACUUAAAUUAUUUCUUGUAGCUGCAUAUUGAAAAAAGAGAAAUGAAGCUCAACCAGUCAGAAGUAGCCAACAACCUUAUAUAAAUAGAAACUGUCCAACAAGGUAAACAGACAAACAAAAAACAAUAAAAAAAGUUGUGCUACCACCAAAUGAUUUCUUUGUUUCUACAUUUUUCAAAUAAAUACUUGCUUCUUACACUGUCAAUGAAGCACUCAAUAUCUUUCCGUCUGAUAUUUUAUAAUUUAUCAAUUGCUCUUACUCAAAUAAACACUUUGCAAUUUC
This 4779-nucleotide long non-coding RNA is filed under the name Homo sapiens (human). RNAcentral's name for it is "HSALNT0402580". Lineage: Eukaryota; Metazoa; Chordata; Mammalia; Primates; Hominidae. The record is from RNAcentral.